UAGGCAGUGGGGAGGGGGAGUGUAAAGGAAAGAAGAGAAGAGGAGCAUCACAGUAGCACAGGCAAGAUACUGAGUAACAAGAAUACCGUAUGAUCAGCAAUUUAUGUUUACAUGGAUGACAUGAGGAGUGAGGGUCCAGGGAGGGGGAAAGACGACUCCAGAUUGUAAAGGGUGAAUUACUCCAGUGACAUAGACAGGGGGUCAAACCAAGAGCCAGUUUCUGAGUGUUGUUAGGAGAGAAAGUUGGUGAGGAGAGGAUUUGUGGGGAGGGGACAAGAUGAGUUUGGCUAGUGGAAGUGGUGGUGUUUUAAGAGAAUGAUGAAAAUAUCCCUUAGGCAGCAAAAAACAUGAGGCUGAAGUUCAUGAGAUUUGGGGUUAUGAUCGAUCAUGAUUUUGCUUUCUGCAUAGAGAAGUGUGAUUCAUUUGCUCUGAAGCGAUGACUGUGACCAAAUAGUGGAUACAAUUCCAAGAUGGGUGGGGAAAGACAGGAGGACUAGAAGGAGUUAGGAACUAGGAAGUUCUUUCACUUGGGACAAUGGAGGAAAAGCCAGCAAAGGAAGCAGAGAAGUAGAAAACCAGAAUGUUACAGGGACACAGAUGACAAGGAAGGAGAGUAUUUCAAGGAGACAGCAAAUGGCAUCAGAUACAGCCAUGACAGGUCAAGAAUAAAGGAAAAUAAGGGAGUAAGCAGAGGAGCAAAAAGACCAAAAGAAAGUGAGGUAGUUUGGGGGGAAGGGCAGUUAUCUGGGAUUUAGGUAAGGAGUAUUAAAAACAAAACAAGCCCCCAAAGGUGUUAUUUACACUAAUCCUCACAUUACCAGACUAGUACUUCCCGCGGCAUAUGGAGGUUCCCAGGCUAGGGGUCAGAUCGGAGCUGUAGCCACCGGCCUACACCACAGCCACAGCAACACCAAAUCUGGGCCGAAUCUGUGACCUACAUGCAGCUUAAAUCAUCGCCAGAACAUUUAACCCACUGAGCAAGGCCAGGGAUCAAACCCACAUCUUCAUGGAUACUAGUCGGAUUCUUAACCCACUGAGCCACAACAGGAACUCCCUCAAUUCCUUUUUUUAAUAUCCUCACUCAUGUUCUUCGUAUGGUGGGAGAUCAAUAAAAUAAAUACUUACUGAGUCAAUUAGUGAAUAAAUGAAGAAACUGACCUUUUCAAGCCAACUUUUUUUAUAUUCUCUGUUUUCAAUGCAGUGAGCCCUCCUAUAACAGCCACUCAGUGUGAUUCAGCAGUAGGUGCCUCCAAACAAGAAAAGUGUAUGUAGCAGAAGCCCAAAGGUCCAGGAAGCCAGAGU
Molecule: long non-coding RNA, 1302 nt
Filed under: Sus scrofa (pig)
Lineage: Eukaryota; Metazoa; Chordata; Mammalia; Artiodactyla; Suidae
Description: lncRNA (ENSSSCG00015069110.1)
Source: RNAcentral